This 103-nucleotide microRNA precursor is filed under the name Marmota monax (woodchuck). Lineage: Eukaryota; Metazoa; Chordata; Mammalia; Rodentia; Sciuridae. The record is from RNAcentral.
AUAUGAAUCACAUGGGGAUCUUUUAAAGUGCAGAUUCUGAUUGGGUAGUCUGGGAUGGAACCUGAGAUGCUGCAUAUUUUACAAGCUGUCUGGUAAUGCUCAU